UACGGAGGAUGCGAGCGUUAUCCGGAUUUAUUGGGUUUAAAGGGUGCGUAGGCGGCUUUUUAAGUCAGCGGUGAAAUUUUGCAGCUUGACUGUAACAGUGCCGUUGAUACUGUUUGGCUAGGAUUUGGUUGCUGUGGGUGGAAUGUGUGGUGUAGCGGUGAAAUGCUUAGAGAUCACACAGAAUAUCGAUUGCGAAGGCAGCUCACAAAGCCAAGAUUGACGCUGAGGCACGAAAGUGUGGGGAUCAAACAGGAUUA
This 257-nucleotide ribosomal RNA is filed under the name uncultured prokaryote. Its description in RNAcentral is "partial 16S ribosomal RNA". It matches the Rfam family "Bacterial small subunit ribosomal RNA", at positions 524 to 780 of the family's 1533-position model. The record is from RNAcentral.